Long non-coding RNA from Phragmites australis (common reed), 683 nucleotides. RefSeq lists it as uncharacterized. The record is from RefSeq and is a predicted model, not a curated record. Lineage: Eukaryota; Viridiplantae; Streptophyta; Magnoliopsida; Poales; Poaceae. The transcript is spliced from 2 exons.
AUGUGCAUCAAAAAAAAGCGAUGGCAUGAAAGAGAACGCUACUUAGCAAUGUCUUCGGAACAAAAUGAGAGUAUGUUGCAUAGGAUCCAUGAGAACAAGAAAGGAAGAAAGGGUGAUGGAGAACACUCAAGCAACGCUCAUGUUGGAGAAACAUUCAUAGACCGAUCCAGAAAUGCUCAUGGUGCAGAUGGAUCCGUACGCACUGCAAUGAGUACAACUACCGCAACGUCCUUUUGAUGAAUCCACAAGCUGGGUGGAUGUCAUAGCUCAAAUGUAUCACUCACUCAGGUCUGUUAUUGAAAGUCCUAAUUAUGUCCAAAGCUUGUUUACAACCUUACAGGCUGAUAAUGGCUGCUGAGCCCACCAAUCUGUUGAGGGAGCAUUUGACUUGGGUAUAUUUGAAACAAUUCAUCCUCAUGCUGAACUAGAAGGUAAAUUGUCGUUUAUUGAUGCCUUUUAUGUAAUCAAUAUGUGUAGAUACAUUAAUAUUUAUUAAGCCAUUUCAUACUAUGUGUUUCAUGCCACAUAGCCCUUUGAGAGAGUCCAAGAUUUAGCAACCGAAUUUGAUGAUGAUGAGGAAAGUAGGAUCUUCAAUUCACCAGGUAUAAUAUAGUAUACAAUCCUUUUAGGUGGUUUUGGACUCAUUGUUUGGUUCAGUAUAUAUACAAUAUAUUAUUUUUUCA